RNAcentral lists this ribosomal RNA (253 nucleotides) under uncultured bacterium. RNAcentral's name for it is "partial 16S ribosomal RNA". It matches the Rfam family "Bacterial small subunit ribosomal RNA", at positions 524 to 776 of the family's 1533-position model. The record is from RNAcentral.
UACGGAGGGGGCUAGCGUUGCUCGGAAUUACUGGGCGUAAAGCGCACGUAGGCGGCUUCUUAAGUCGGUGGUGAAAUCCUGGAGCUCAACUCCAGAACUGCCUUCGAUACUGGGAAGCUCGAGUCCGGGAGAGGUGAGUGGAACUGCGAGUGUAGAGGUGAAAUUCGUAGAUAUUCGCAAGAACACCAGUGGCGAAGGCGGCUCACUGGCCCGGUACUGACGCUGAGGUGCGAAAGCGUGGGGAGCAAACAGG